UACAGAGGGGGCAAGCGUUGUUCGGAAUUACUGGGCGUAAAGGGCGCGUAGGCGGUCGUGACAAGUCACUUGUGAAAUCUCCGGGCUUAACUCGGAACGGUCAAGUGAUACUGUCGGACUAGAGUACAGAAGGGGCAACUGGAAAUUCUCGGUGUAGCGGUGAAAUGCGUAGAUAUCGAGAGGGAACACCUGCGGCGAAGGCGGGUUGCUGGGCUGAUACUGA
RNAcentral lists this ribosomal RNA (223 nucleotides) under uncultured bacterium. RNAcentral describes it as "partial 16S ribosomal RNA". It matches the Rfam family "Bacterial small subunit ribosomal RNA", at positions 524 to 743 of the family's 1533-position model. The record is from RNAcentral.